CCUACGGGUGGCAGCAGUGAGGGAUAUUGGUCAAUGGGGGAAACCCUGAACCAGCAACGCCGCGUGAGGGAAGACGGCUUUCGGAUUGUAAACCUCUGUUCUCUGUGAAGUUAAUGACGGUAGCAGAGGAGGAAGCUACGGCUAACUACGUGACAGCACCCCCGGUAAUACGGAGGGAGCCAGCGUUAUCCGGAUUUACUGGGGGUAAAGGGGGCGCAGACGGCGGUGCAAGCCAGGAGUGAAAGCCCGGGGCUCAACCCCGGGACUGCUCUUGGAACUGGUUGGCUAGAGUGCAGGUGGGGCAGGCGGAAUUCCUGGUGUAGCGGUGAAAUGCUUAGAUAUCA
This 344-nucleotide ribosomal RNA is filed under the name uncultured bacterium. RNAcentral's name for it is "partial 16S ribosomal RNA". It matches the Rfam family "Bacterial small subunit ribosomal RNA", at positions 338 to 699 of the family's 1533-position model. The record is from RNAcentral.